RNAcentral lists this ribosomal RNA (780 nucleotides) under uncultured phototrophic eukaryote. RNAcentral describes it as "bacterial SSU rRNA". It matches the Rfam family "Bacterial small subunit ribosomal RNA", at positions 515 to 1277 of the family's 1533-position model. The record is from RNAcentral.
CCGCCGGUAAUACGGGGGAUGCAAGCGUUAUCCGGAAUCAUUGGGUGUAAAGCGCCUGAUAGGUUGUUUGAUAAGUCUGUUGUUAAAGCCUAGGGCUUAACCCUAGAAAAGCGAUGGAAACUACCAGACUAGAGUAUGGAAGGGGUAGAGGGAAUUUCUAGUGUAGCGGUGAAAUGCGUAGAUACUAGAAAGAACACCAGAGGCGAAAGCGCUCUACUGGGCCAGUACUGACACUCAGAGGCGAAAGCUAGGGUAGCAAAAGGGAUUAGAUACCCCUGUAGUCCUAGCCGUAAACGAUGGAUACUAGAUGUUGUGGGUUACUUACAACAGAUGUUGUAGAUUAACAUGCAGUGACGAAGCUAACGCGUUAAGUAUCCCACCUGGGGAGUACGCUCGCAAGGGUGAAACUCAAAGGAAUUGACGGGGGCUUGCACAAGCGGUGGAGCAUGUGGUUUAAUUCGAUGCAACGCGAAGAACCUUACCAGGAUUUGACAUACUACAAAUCUUUUUGAGAAAAAAGAGCGCCUUCGGGAAUGUAGAUACAGGUGGUGCAUGGCUGUCGUCAGCUCGUGUCGUGAGAUGUUGGGUUAAGUCCCGCAACGAGCGCAACCCUUAUUUUUAGUUACUAACUUGUUAGGUUCUCUAGAAAGACUGCCGGUGACAAACCGGAGGAAGGUGAGGAUGACGUCAAGUCAGCAUGCCCCUUAUAUCCUGGGCUACACACGUGCUACAAUGGUUAAGACAAUGAGUCGCGAGCUCGUGAGAGUCAGCUAAUCCCAU